RNAcentral lists this ribosomal RNA (429 nucleotides) under Fusobacteriota bacterium. Its description in RNAcentral is "Fusobacteria bacterium partial 16S ribosomal RNA". It matches the Rfam family "Bacterial small subunit ribosomal RNA", at positions 355 to 776 of the family's 1533-position model. The record is from RNAcentral. Lineage: Bacteria; Fusobacteriati; Fusobacteriota.
UGGGGAAUCUUCCGCAAUGGACGAAAGUCUGACGGAGCAACGCCGCGUGAGUGAAGACGGCCUUCGGGCUGUAAAGCUCUGUGAUCCGGGACGAAAGAGCCUGAGGUAAAUAGCCUAAGGAAGUGACGGUACCGGAAAAGCAAGCCACGGCUAACUACGUGCCAGCAGCCGCGGUAAUACGUAGGGGGCUAGCGUUGUCCGGAAUCACUGGGCGUAAAGGGUUCGCAGGCGGAAAUGCAAGUCAGGUGUAAAAGGCAGUAGCUUAACUACUGUAAGCAUUUGAAACUGCAUAUCUUGAGAAGAGUAGAGGUAAGUGGAAUUUUUAGUGUAGCGGUGAAAUGCGUAGAUAUUAAAAAGAAUACCGGUGGCGAAGGCGACUUACUGGGCUCAUUCUGACGCUGAGGAACGAAAGCGUGGGUAGCAAACAGG